Molecule: microRNA precursor, 84 nt
Filed under: Chlorocebus sabaeus (green monkey)
Lineage: Eukaryota; Metazoa; Chordata; Mammalia; Primates; Cercopithecidae
Also listed under: 4 other names
Description: mir-548 microRNA precursor family
Rfam family: mir-548 microRNA precursor family
Source: Rfam by way of RNAcentral
UAUUAGGUUGGUGCAAAAGUAAUUGCAGUUUUUGCCAUUGAAAGUAAUGGCAAAAAUCGCAAUUACUUUUGCACCAACCUAAUA